GCUAUUUUGACAGAAAAUUGUAAUAAAUUUAGAAUUUAUAUAUGUAAAAUAAAAUUUACAAAUAGUA
Molecule: transfer RNA, 67 nt
Filed under: Bradysia impatiens
Lineage: Eukaryota; Metazoa; Arthropoda; Insecta; Diptera; Sciaridae
Description: tRNA-Leu
Source: RNAcentral